GAUCAGAUUAGCACUGAACAAUGGAAAAGAAGGUGGCGAUAGUAUUGAGCGUGAUUUUGCUCAUAAUCUCAGCAAAUAUGGUGGCGGUCAACUCCGACGCCUCCGACUGCAACGACGCCUGCACCACUGCCUGCGUUAAUCCUGACCCUAGACUUACGGCUCGAUGCAACACCAAGUGCGGGAUAAGGUGCGGUCCAGGACUCCAAGCAAAUGAGCAUUUAAACUGAUGUUUUGGAACUGGGAAGAGGAGAUUCCAGUUUAUAUUACUCCAUAUAUUACUGAAUAAAAUAAAUAAGUUGUUUUAUGAGGAUAAAACACAUGUUUGUGGGACACUAUGCUGUUUUUUAUGAGGAUAAAACACAUGUUUGUGGGACACUAUGCUGUGACGUUUAUGUACUGGAGUGGAUUUUAAUAUUUGAAAACGUAUUAUUUCGUA
Long non-coding RNA from Salvia splendens (bonfire salvia), 436 nucleotides. RefSeq lists it as uncharacterized. Lineage: Eukaryota; Viridiplantae; Streptophyta; Magnoliopsida; Lamiales; Lamiaceae. The transcript is spliced from 3 exons. The record is from RefSeq and is a predicted model, not a curated record.